UAGAGUUUGAUCAUGGCUCAGAUUGAACGCUGGCGGCAGGCCUAACACAUGCAAGUCGAGCGGCAGCGACUUAACUGAACCUUCGGGGAACGUUAAGGGCGGCGAGCGGCGGACGGGUGAGUAAUGCCUGGGAAUAUGCCCUGAUGUGGGGGAUAACUAUUGGAAACGAUAGCUAAUACCGCAUAAUCUCUUCGGAGCAAAGAGGGGGACCUUCGGGCCUCUCGCGUCAGGAUUAGCCCAGGUGGGAUUAGCUUGUUGGUGAGGUAAUGGCUCACCAAGGCAACGAUCCCUAGCUGGUCUGAGAGGAUGAUCAGCCACACUGGAACUGAGACACGGUCCAGACUCCUACGGGAGGCAGCAGUGGGGAAUAUUGCACAAUGGGGGAAACCCUGAUGCAGCCAUGCCGCGUGUGUGAAGAAGGCCUUCGGGUUGUAAAGCACUUUCAGUAGGGAGGAAGGUAGUGUAGUUAACACCUGCAUUAUUUGACGUUACCUACAGAAGAAGCACCGGCUAACUCCGUGCCAGCAGCCGCGGUAAUACGGAGGGUGCGAGCGUUAAUCGGAAUUACUGGGCGUAAAGCGCAUGCAGGCGGCCUGUUAAGUCAGAUGUGAAAGCCCGGGGCUUAACCUCGGAAUUGCAUUUGAAACUGGC
This 651-nucleotide ribosomal RNA is filed under the name uncultured bacterium. RNAcentral's name for it is "bacterial SSU rRNA". It matches the Rfam family "Bacterial small subunit ribosomal RNA", at positions 1 to 637 of the family's 1533-position model. The record is from RNAcentral.